UGGGGAAUAUUGCACAAUGGAGGGAACUCUGAUGCAGCGACGCCGCGUGAACGAAGAAGGCUUUCGAGUCGUAAAGUUCUUUUAUAUGGGAAGAUAAUGACGGUACCAUAAGAAAAAGCCCCGGCUAACUACGUGCCAGCAGCCGCGGUAAUACGUAGGGGGCUAGCGUUGUCCGGAAUCACUGGGCGUAAAGGGUUCGCAGGCGGAAAUGCAAGUCAGGUGUAAAAGGCAGUAGCUUAACUACUGUAAGCAUUUGAAACUGCAUAUCUUGAGAAGAGUAGAGGUAAGUGGAAUUUUUAGUGUAGCGGUGAAAUGCGUAGAGAUUAAAAAGAAUACCGGUGGCGAAGGCGACUUACUGGGCUCAUUCUGACGCUGAGGAACGAAAGCGUGGGUAGCAAACAGG
Molecule: ribosomal RNA, 403 nt
Filed under: bacterium
Lineage: Bacteria
Also listed under: 1 other name
Description: partial 16S ribosomal RNA
Rfam family: Bacterial small subunit ribosomal RNA
Source: RNAcentral